GGGAGUUAAGAAUGCCUAGUACCAUGAAUUCUGACCUUAAAAGAUUGAAGACAUUUUCAGUUUGAAAAACCAGCAGAUAUAGAUGUAUUUUAAAAUGUCAUUUAAAAAAUAAAGCUCUAUCUUCCUGGUAAAUGAUUUAUAUAAUUAUAUUAACAUAUAGCCUAUUUCCAAAUACUGCAUUAUAAACUACACACAGCAGUAAAAAAAAAAAAAAAAAAUGAUGGCAAAUAGAACCAAGUAAUGAGUGGCCAAAAUCUCAACUUAUGUUAUACUUCCAUGAGUUACUUAUGACUUUGAGGGUAUUCUGAAUUAACUUCUGGUUGUAAUACAUUUAGUUCCUAUUUAG
This 346-nucleotide long non-coding RNA is filed under the name Bos taurus (domestic cattle). RNAcentral describes it as "long non-coding RNA NONBTAT016951". The record is from RNAcentral. Lineage: Eukaryota; Metazoa; Chordata; Mammalia; Artiodactyla; Bovidae.